Long non-coding RNA from Hippoglossus stenolepis (Pacific halibut), 1019 nucleotides. RefSeq lists it as uncharacterized. The record is from RefSeq and is a predicted model, not a curated record. The transcript is spliced from 2 exons. Lineage: Eukaryota; Metazoa; Chordata; Actinopteri; Pleuronectiformes; Pleuronectidae.
AUCAGGGGGGUCACUUGACCCAGGUGUUGCUGGUAAGAAGCAAACAGUCUUUGAACGUGCGGUAAUGGCUGUGAAAAGAAGGUUAUGAUUUCUUCUGUCUAUGUUUUGGGGAAAUAGACUUAUCCCGAUUGUAAGCAAGAAAUCGCCUUUGUUUUUUGGUAACUGGACACUUCAAAACAAUUAAUCAGCAACCAUGGUGGCUUCUUUUGAUUGGCCACGGGGUCACUACAAUAAGUCAAAAACUGCUCCAUUGAGGACAGCGUUGGAUGUCUGCUGUGGUUUGACUGUGUCCCAGGACCAGCUGCUGUGGUUUGACUGUGUUUUCCGGGACCAGCUGCUGGGGCUUCUCAACGUCUCCUGUUGCGCACCGGAGCUGUUGGAGCUGCGGAUCACGCACGGAGGGAAACAGAACUUCAGAACACCUGCAUGCCGGCCAACGCCAAAGCCCGUUCUAUAACCCAACACCGUGCACAGCCCCUCUCUCUCGGCUGACUGACCUCUCUGAUCGCCGCCAGCGUGUUCUCCGGUGCGUCGUGGCUCCCGCCGCGGUGCGCCACCACCGGGACGCCGCCCGGAGGAGCCCCGGGCCGGAGGACGCGGCCGGCCUGCUCCGCCGGCACCGGGGGGAACCGGAACAUCACCAUAAAGACGUAGAGGAACGCGGUGAGCAGGGAGGCCCCCGUGGCGCUCCUGGUCCCCAGCAUCAGCAGCAGGAACACCGCCGAGAAAUACAUCACCUCGUCGCCGAUCUGCAGCAUGGUGGCGGCAGGGCAGGGUGCUAGAUCAACGACCGGAGCGGAGGAUGGAGGAGUCGAUGCUCAGGAAGAUGGCACGGGACAUGGAUGGAGCUGCACCGCCUGCGCCCCGCUGACUACAUGGUGGUGGAUCCGAGAGAUGAGCGAGAAUCUGCAGCUUCGCGUUGGGAAGAGGGAGCGUCAGGGCGGUCGCUAAUGUCAAGUGUGAAGACAAAUGAGAAACAUCCGCUCAAAACAUUCAGAAUAAAAAGCUUCAUAUCCAAA